GGUGACAAACCCUAUGCUGCUAAAGGUAGGAGAAAGUGUUGAUAAACACAGCUGGUGACAAACCCUAUGCUGCAAAAGGUAGGAGAAAGUGUUGAUGCACACAGCUGAUGAUAAACUCUAUGCUGCUAAAGGUAGGAGAAAGUGUUGAUACACACAGCUGAUGACAAAACCUGUGCUGCUAAAGGUAGGAGAAAGUGUUGAUAGGCUGAUGACAAACCCUGUGCUGCUAAAGGUAGGAGAAAGUGUUGAU
Molecule: long non-coding RNA, 250 nt
Organism: Haliotis rubra (blacklip abalone)
Lineage: Eukaryota; Metazoa; Mollusca; Gastropoda; Lepetellida; Haliotidae
Exons: 3
Source: RefSeq, a predicted model, not a curated record